Molecule: ribosomal RNA, 1293 nt
Filed under: Triticum aestivum (bread wheat)
Lineage: Eukaryota; Viridiplantae; Streptophyta; Magnoliopsida; Poales; Poaceae
Description: partial small subunit ribosomal RNA
Source: RNAcentral
AUGAUGGGAGCACGUCAGCAGGCAAUGAGAACCUUGGAGGGUAUGGUUUGUAUGAAUUCCUCAGAGGUAGAAACAACAAGAGCCACUGAAGAUAAUAUAAUUGUUCCAUACGGUUCCUGCUUGUAUGAUGUUGACAACCUUGAAGAAGAUGAAAUCGAAGAGGAUGAAGUCUUACGUUUGGGAGGAAACAGUCCAAUCACUUGGACAGACAGGCCAAAAGCAAAUCUCCUGCUGCAUGAUCUUCAAGGUUGGAGGGCUGAACAAGGGCACCAAAAAGUGCCAGUUGCAAAUUGGCAACAUGGUAAACAUGUCGCCACAGAGUCAAGUGGCACUAGUGGAUGGAACCAGAGCAGUUCUACCAUGAAAGUUUAUCAGAGAAGGCAACGUAAUAGUAAUUGGAGCUCAGAUGCAACACAGCAAGAUGGUAAACCGAGUUGGAACAAAGCAUAUGUGGCAGGCCCGAGCAACUUUGCCAUUACAGGGCCAUCAUGUGGUACUAGUGGAUGGAACCAGAGCAGUUCUACCACGAAAGUUUAUAAGAGAAGGCAAUUUGAUAGUAAUUGGAGCUCAGAUGCAACACAACAAGAUGGUAACCCAAGUUGGAAGAAAGCAAAUGUGGCAGGCCAGGGCAACUUUGCCAUUACAGGGCCAUCUAGCUCUGGUGGAUGGAGUAGAAAGACCAAUAAUCUUGGUAGAGGUCGAGGUGGUGGUAGAGGUGCAGUGUGGAAAUCAGAGGGAUCACACCGUGGAGGUAACAGUAGGUGGAAAGCCCAAAGAGCCAAUACCACAAGCGCCCCGAACUUCCACAUUUCAGGACCAUCCAACUUUGGUGGACGGAACAUCAAGACCGGCAAUCUUGGCCCAUGCCGUGGCAGAGGACCAGCAUGGAGAUCAAACGGACCAAACCGGGGAGGUAGCAAUGGUGGACCAAGAGGGAGUUCAAAUUUUACACUAGCGGAACAGCAGAUACAUGCACAAGUUGAUCCAAUCAUGAAGGAAGUAAAGAGGAUCAUCCGUGAAUCAAGGGAUGGCAUCAAGCUUUCUGGAGAUGAUGAGAGGUUCAUUGUUGAAAAUAUUCUCAUGUACCACCCAGAGAAGGAAAAGAAGAUGGCAGGGAAUAACAAUUACAUAACGGUUGCUAAGCAUCAAAAGUUCCAUAGCUCCAGGUGCUUGUACGUCGUGUCCUCAGACGGCCCUCCUACAGAUUUCUCCUACAAGAAGUGCCUAGAGAACAUGAUCAGGAUUCACUACCCACGUGAUGCAAGUUCAUUCUGCAGAAAGUACUUCCAGUGA